AACAAUACAGUUUUGACUCUGCAGUCAGAAGAGAGAAAUCCAACCAAAAAAAAUGGGUAACUGUAGCAGCGGCUAUACCUCGAAUCCCCCACCGCCAACCACCAGACCUCCGCCGCCUUCUCAACCCAACGGCGGAGGCGGAGGAGGUGUUGGUGGAGGAGAGUCCCACAUCACCAUCCUCCCCUCCGAUGCGGAUCCUCCGCCGCGACGGCCACUUCCCACCGGCAACGGCCGCAUCCUCGGCCGCCCCAUGGCCGAUGUCCACUCCGUCUACACCUUCGGGCGGGAGCUCGGCCGGGGGCAGUUCGGCGUGACCCACCUCGUGACCAGACGCGCCACGCGCGAGGCGUUCGCGUGCAAGUCAAUCGCCACCCGGAAGCUCGUGACCGCCGACGACGUCGCCGACGUCCGCCGCGAGGUUCAGAUCAUGCACCACCUCACCGGCCACCGGAAUAUCGUGGAGCUGAAGGAGGUGUUCGAGGAUCGGAACAACGUGCACCUCGUGAUGGAGCUCUGCGCCGGCGGCGAGCUCUUCGAUCGGAUCAUCGCAAAGGGGCAUUACUCGGAGCGGGCGGCGGCGGGGCUGUGCCGGCAGAUUGUGACGGUGGUGCACGCGUGUCACUCGAUGGGGGUUAUGCAUAGGGAUUUGAAGCCUGAGAAUUUCUUGCUUCUCAGUAAAGAUGAGGAUUCGCCGCUCAAGGCUACUGAUUUCGGAUUGUCUGUGUUUUUUAAGCCGGGAGAAGUAUUCCGAGAUCUAGUUGGCAGUGCGUACUAUGUUGCUCCAGAAGUAUUGCGUCGGCAUUAUAGUGCCGAAGCCGAUAUUUGGAGUGCUGGAGUUAUCUUGUACAUUUUACUCAGUGGGGUACCGACUUUCUGGGGAGGUAUGUCGAACCCUAAAGAUCGAGUUACUGCUGCUGAAGUCUUGAACCAUCCAUGGAUGCGAGAAGACGGAGAUGCUUCGGAUAAGCCUCUCGAUAUUGCUGUCUUGACUAGAAUGAAGCAGUUCCGUGCAAUGAAUAAGCUCAAGAAAGUUGCUCUUAAGGUGAUUGCGGAAAGUCUGUCUGAAGAAGAAAUCAUAGGAUUGAAGGAAAUGUUCAAAUCCAUGGAUACGGAUAAUAGUGGAACUAUUACGUACGAAGAGCUCAAAGCUGGCCUACCGAAGCUCGGCACCAAGCUUUCUGAAGCAGAAGUGCGGCAAUUAAUGGAUGCGGCUGAUGUGGAUGGAAACGGGACAAUCGAUUACAUUGAAUUUAUAACGGCUACGAUGCACAUGAACCGAAUGGACAGAGAAGACCAUUUGUACAAAGCCUUUGAAUAUUUUGACAAGGAUAAGAGCGGGUACAUAUAUAUAUAAGAAUUGGAACAUGCCUUGAAGGAAUACAAUAUGGGCGGCGACUCUAAUACGAUUAAGGAAAUCCUUGCCGAAGUGGACACCGACCAUGAUGGGAAAAUAAACUAUGACGAGUUUGUGGCAAUGAUGAGGAAAGGGAAUCCGGAGAUAGUCACAAAUAGACGCCGGAAAUAGAAAUUAAAUAUGGCGGAUUCUUUUAUUUACCCGUUUACCUAACCGGAGUAAAUCGUACAUGUUCUUUUUCUUCGCCGUCUUCUUGUCUAUAGCGGAUGCAAAUUUACUAGCCAUUUUUUUUUUGCUCUAAAAAUUACACAUUGUGCAAUUGUUAUCAUUUAUGAGAAGUUUUGUACUCUGAUUUUUCAUACAUACCCUUAUUAGAAACUGCGAUUUUUCGU
Erythranthe guttata (spotted monkey flower) is the source of this 1746-nucleotide non-coding RNA. The record is from RefSeq and is a predicted model, not a curated record. Lineage: Eukaryota; Viridiplantae; Streptophyta; Magnoliopsida; Lamiales; Phrymaceae.